RNAcentral lists this ribosomal RNA (439 nucleotides) under uncultured bacterium. RNAcentral describes it as "partial 16S ribosomal RNA". It matches the Rfam family "Bacterial small subunit ribosomal RNA", at positions 339 to 795 of the family's 1533-position model. The record is from RNAcentral.
CUACGGGUCGCACCAGUGAGGAAUAUUGCACAAUGGGGGGAACCCUGAUGCGGCAACGCCGCGUGGAGGAUGACGCAUUUCGGUGUGUAAACUCCUUUUAUAUGUCAAGAAAAUGACGGUAGCAUAUGAAUAAGCAUCGGCUAACUCCGUGCCAGCAGCCGCGGUAAUACGGAGGGUGCAAGCGUUACUCGGAAUCACUGGGCGUAAAGGACGCGUAGGCGGGUUGGAAAGUCAGGUGUGAAAUCCUACAGCUUAACUGUAGAACUGCACUUGAAACUUCUAAUCUAGAGUAUGGGAGGGGGAGAUGGAAUUAGUGGUGUAGGGGUAAAAUCCGUAGAUAUCACUAGGAAUACCUAAAGCGAAGGCGAUCUCCUGGAACAUUACUGACGCUAAGGCGUGAAAGCGUGGGGAGCAAACAGGAUUAGAUAUCCGUGUAGUC